UCUCCGUAGGUGAACCUGCGGAGGGAUCAUUACAGAGUUCUCGCCCUCACGGGUAGAUCUCCCACCCACUGUUAUCGUUACUGUCGUUUCUUUGGCGGGCCGCCGGGUCCCCGGCCGCCGGCGCCUAGCUGCCGGCGCGCGCCCGCCAGAGGCCUUCAAACUCUGAAUGUUAGUGUCGUCUGAGUACUAUAUAAUAGUUAAAACUUUCAACAACGGAUCUCUUGGUUCUG
RNAcentral lists this unclassified non-coding RNA (230 nucleotides) under plant metagenome. RNAcentral describes it as "partial contains small subunit ribosomal RNA, internal transcribed spacer 1, and 5.8S ribosomal RNA". The record is from RNAcentral.